AAUUCAUCAACCCACCGGUUUGGGGCAACCCGAACGCGGAGGUUGGAUAUGGGUCCCGUUUGCGCCUGGCGCAAUGGCCUGAAAUACAAUGUCAUGGAAUCAUUGGACGCCUGUCCGGUUUCAAGCGCAUGAAAGGGAUUCUUCUCUGAAGUACGUCUUGAGCAGCCGUUCUGGGAUUCGAGCCUUUGGUGCUGUGGACUCACCUAUCAUCCAGCAGGGGUCCUUAACGGGGUCCCUCUGAAC
Molecule: unclassified non-coding RNA, 243 nt
Filed under: uncultured Rhizophlyctis
Lineage: Eukaryota; Fungi; Chytridiomycota; Chytridiomycetes; Spizellomycetales; Spizellomycetaceae
Description: sequence contains ITS2
Source: RNAcentral